UACAGAGGGUGCGAGCGUUAAUCGGAAUUACUGGGCGUAAAGCGCACGUAGGUGGCGACGUAAGUCGGGUGUGAAAGCCCCGGGCUCAACCUGGGAACUGCAUUCGAGACUGCAUUGCUGGAGUACGGAAGAGGAAGGCGGAAUUCCCGGUGUAGCGGUGAAAUGCGUAGAUAUCGGGAGGAACAUCAGUGGCGAAGGCGGCCUUCUGGUCCAGUACUGACACUCAAGUGCGAAAGCGUGGGGAGCAAACAGG
RNAcentral lists this ribosomal RNA (253 nucleotides) under uncultured bacterium. RNAcentral describes it as "partial 16S ribosomal RNA". It matches the Rfam family "Bacterial small subunit ribosomal RNA", at positions 524 to 776 of the family's 1533-position model. The record is from RNAcentral.